GACGAACGCUGGCGGCGUGCUUAACACAUGCAAGUCGAACGGAAAGGCCCUGCUUUUGUGGGGUGCUCGAGUGGCGAACGGGUGAGUAACACGUGAGUAACCUGCCCUUGACUUUGGGAUAACUUCAGGAAACUGGGGCUAAUACCGGAUAGGAGCUCCUGCUGCAUGGUGGGGGUUGGAAAGUUUCGGCGGUUGGGGAUGGACUCGCGGCUUAUCAGCUUGUUGGUGGGGUAGUGGCUUACCAAGGCUUUGACGGGUAGCCGGCCUGAGAGGGUGACCGGCCACAUGGGGACGGGGGUACGGCCAGACUCCUACGGGAGGCAGCAGUGGGGAAUAUUGCACAAUGGGCGGAAGCCUGAUGCAGCAACGCCGCGUGCGGGAUGACGGCCUUCGGGUUGUAAACCGCUUUCGCCUGUGACGAAGCGUGAGUGACGGUAAUGGGUAAAGAAGCACCGGCUAACUACGUG
RNAcentral lists this ribosomal RNA (467 nucleotides) under uncultured bacterium. RNAcentral's name for it is "partial 16S ribosomal RNA". It matches the Rfam family "Bacterial small subunit ribosomal RNA", at positions 28 to 507 of the family's 1533-position model. The record is from RNAcentral.